CGCUGGCGGCGUGCUUAACACAUGCAAGUCGACCGGAGUCCAUCGGGCUUUGCUUGGUGGUGAGAGUGGCGAACGGGUGAGUAAUGCGUGACCGACCUGCCCCAUACACCGGAAUAGCUCCUGGAAACGGGUGGUAAUGCCGGAUGUUCCAGUUGAUCGCAUGGUCUUCUGGGAAAGCUUUCGCGGAAUGGGAUGGGGUCGCGUCCUAUCAGCUUGACGGCGGGGUAACGGCCCACCGUGGCUUCGACGGGUAGCCGGCCUGAGAGGGCGACCGGCCACAUUGGGACUGAGAUACGGCCCAGACUCCUACGGGAGGCAGCAGUGGGGAAUAUUGCACAAUGGGCGCAAGCCUGAUGCACCGACGCCGCGUGAGGGAUGGAGGCCUUCGGGUUGUAAACCUCUUUUAUCGGGGAGCAAGCGNNANUGANUUNACCCGUUGAAUAAGNACCGGUUAANUACGNGCCANCAGCCGCGG
This 475-nucleotide ribosomal RNA is filed under the name Bifidobacterium longum subsp. infantis. RNAcentral's name for it is "bacterial SSU rRNA". It matches the Rfam family "Bacterial small subunit ribosomal RNA", at positions 34 to 520 of the family's 1533-position model. Lineage: Bacteria; Bacillati; Actinomycetota; Actinomycetes; Bifidobacteriales; Bifidobacteriaceae. The record is from RNAcentral.